RNAcentral lists this transfer RNA (71 nucleotides) under Loxodonta africana (African savanna elephant). It matches the Rfam family "tRNA". Rfam says of the family: Transfer RNA (tRNA) molecules are approximately 80 nucleotides in length. Lineage: Eukaryota; Metazoa; Chordata; Mammalia; Proboscidea; Elephantidae. The record is from Rfam by way of RNAcentral.
ACAUUGGUGGUUCAGUGGUAGACUUCUCACCUUCCAAAUGGGAGACCUGGGUUCAAUUCCCAGCCAAUGCA